CACCGGCGGCUCGAGUGGUAACCGUUAUUAUUGGGUCUAAAGGGUCUGUAGCCGGCUGGAUAAGUCUCUUGAGAAAUCUGGCAGCUUAACUGUCAGGCUUUCAGGAGAUACUGUCUGGCUCGAGGCCGGGAGAGGUGAGAGGUACUUCAGGGGUAGGGGUGAAAUCUUGUAAUCCUUGAAGGACCACCAGUGGCGAAGGCGUCUCACCAGAACGGACCUGACGGCAAGGGACGAAAGCUAGGGGCACGAACCGGAUUAGAUACCCUGGUAGUCCCUGAG
Molecule: ribosomal RNA, 279 nt
Filed under: uncultured prokaryote
Description: partial 16S ribosomal RNA
Rfam family: Archaeal small subunit ribosomal RNA
Source: RNAcentral